Molecule: non-coding RNA, 348 nt
Organism: Dorea sp. CAG:105
Lineage: Bacteria; Bacillati; Bacillota; Clostridia; Lachnospirales; Lachnospiraceae
Rfam family: transfer-messenger RNA
About the family: Bacterial tmRNA, also known as 10Sa RNA or SsrA, is named for its dual tRNA and mRNA-like properties.
Source: Rfam
GGGCUUGUACUGGUUUCGACGGGGGUCUGGAAGUUGGAGAAGCCAUCCGUAGCGGGACACUACGUUAAAAGUUCCAACUAAAUAUAAACGCAGACGAAAAUUUAGCGUACGCAGCCUAAUUAGGCGGCAGUCGACCCGGAAUCAUCCGCUGUUCCAGUAAUCGGCUUCAAACAGGCGGAGCACUUCGUUUCCAAAGCUUUGCGGAGAUGGAAGAACUUAUGAAGCUACUAAAACGGAUAACCUGUCAUUAGGUGAUUCGCGGAGGGAAUGUCAGAAUAAUGACUGUGAUGGGAGAUGCUCUGAUGGAUGGGCUUUCGGACGCGGGUUCAACUCCCGCCAGGUCCAUUU